GGGAAAUAGGUACUGGAGGGACAGCAGCAGGAGGAACUGGAGGAAUGGAUUGUGGAAAAGAGACGGGAGGAAGCUGUUGGUGAGAUUGUGGAGGUGCAGAUGCUGCUUGUUGCAGAUGCUGGUGAGACUGUGGAGGGGCAGAUGCUACUUGCUGCAGCUGCUGGUGAGAUUGUGGAGGGGCAGAUGCUGCUUGCUGAACAGUGUCCAUGUGCACAGAGUUUUGGAUUUCCGAUUGUUGCUGGUCUCCCUUGGACACCUGCAGCUUCGCAAUUUGUAGCUGAGCCUCGACUACUUCCUGCUUCUCCUUUAAAAGAUAUACCCCACUU
This 326-nucleotide long non-coding RNA is filed under the name Manihot esculenta (cassava). RNAcentral describes it as "long non-coding RNA (MESC_LNC009052)". Lineage: Eukaryota; Viridiplantae; Streptophyta; Magnoliopsida; Malpighiales; Euphorbiaceae. The record is from RNAcentral.